This 3485-nucleotide unclassified non-coding RNA is filed under the name Hevea brasiliensis (rubber tree). Lineage: Eukaryota; Viridiplantae; Streptophyta; Magnoliopsida; Malpighiales; Euphorbiaceae. The record is from RNAcentral.
GUUAACUACUAAUGGUGAUUAGGUGACCUGGAAGAUGUACAUGUAUGUUGGUAAAUCAAUGCAUUGGCACAUUCUUAAGAAAGAGACAGUCAGACAGGGAGAGCAAUUUUGUAUUAUUAUACUAGUGAAACAACAGCAGAUGGCCACAAACAAAUAAGCGGUUAGCCUACAACCAACUAAUUUAUAAACUUCAUACUAUAAACAGGUUAUGGCAGGAGCAAGCUUAAGAACUAAAAGCACAAACAUAUCUACUUCCCUAGUUUUUGUUUCAGUCAUAAUGCAAAUGAGAUAAAUCCACUAAUUAAACUCAUCAGGAUCACCGAUCAAGCACAAGGGCACUCAUCAUGUCUUGCACAGGGUAUGCUCCAUUUGUAUCUUUUGGUAAAAUGUAAAGAGUAAAGAUCACUUGCCAUUCCUUCAAAAGUAUUUACCAUCUAUCAAAGGUAUUCACAUUUCUUUUCCACUUCCAAGGUCGUUGAAAGGAUUGGACACUACCUCCUUUCCCACUUCAUUCUCAGGUUUUUCAAGCAGGACACUAAUCACAGCAGUACUUCAAAAUGUGUGAAUAAGUGUUCUAGAAAUCCUUAUUUAUGAGAUCAAUCAUUGCAGUGCCUCAGCCAAGUUGAUAGGACAUGGCAAUGCAGGUUGCUGGCAGUUGUUUAAAAGAGCAACCUUGCCAUUCAUAACAUUACUAGGUUGAUUUGUUGAGUCCAUACCACUUAUGGAUGUUAGUUGUAGAAGCUGGACAAGAGACCAUAAUAUGUCUAUCCUCGUUAUGUGCGUGUUUGCCUCAACAAUGAAGUGUGCCCAUAUCUUAUCCUCUCGAGUUUCCAUCAGUCCCUUCAAUAUAUUCAAUCCAAAUCCCCUAAUUACAUCAGCUAUCUCAAGAAAGAAUCCUCGAUCCUCACAAAGCAUCUCAAUAAGCAUCAGGCCAGGUGUACUGAGAUCUUCGACUAUAAUAGGGCAAACCAUUGAUUGAUCUCCCACUUCCAGUGCCCAUGUGGCACCACCACCACUUGUGCUGUUGUCUUUCAAAACCAUUUUAUUCUCCUCACCAAUGAGCUUUGGCUCAUCAGCUUGUUUAAGCUUGUCUGCAUAUUUUGUCACACCUUGCAAGAAAAGCAUGUACUUGAUGGUACGAUCCAACAAUGCAUCAAUGCUACACUUUCCACCAUCAGGGAUGAUUCCUUUCAACUCUUUGAUGCGGUCCUGGAUCUGUUGACGGUCUUUUGGCCUUGGUCUAAUACUUUCCCCAGGUCUGGCUCGUUUCUUGGUUGCCUUUGUAGGCUCCUCAAGCUUCUUAGAUUUUGCUAGAACAGCACCUCCAUUGUUGAUGCUAUAGCUAUCAUCAAUCCAUAAGCCUGCCUGUGAUUUUGGGGACACCUCUUUUUUUGAAAGAAGAUUGUUUGUCGUGCCCUUACAAUAUGUAGGCUGCAUAGCCAUGCUGCCACCAGAGCAAGAAACGCUUCCUGACUGAACAUGAUUGAAAGAUGAAGUUUCCAAUCUUCUUCUCUUGGCAGUGGAAAGCUGAUCGUCACUUCUAGAGUUGGUAAUGCGAUUAGAAUUAUGAGCUCCACUUAUAAGCUCUUCAAGACCUAAUUCGGAGAAUAAUCCUUUUCGGUGGCCAACUCCAGGAUUAACAUCCAACUCUGAGACGCAUUCUGAAACACCAGUACUAACAGCUAAGUGACCACUACUCACAACAAGCUUUAUUGCAUUUUCUUGGCAAUCCCCAGAUUGUCCACACCCAUAUUCUAGUCCCAAACCAUUAAACAUAUCAGCGCCAGCAUCAUUCAGAAAUACAGGUUUCUGUUGUCCAUCACAAAUAAAUGCAUCAGUGAUGGAACUUUGCACUGAAUUAGUUGGUUGUGUGAAUGGAAUGUCAAGUAAAACAUCUCCAACCAAACUGGAUGACACUGAAGUAAUUCCUGCUGAUUGUAAGAGAUUUUCAUUCAUUGCGAUGUCGUGCCCUGAUGGAGACAAAAACCACUCAAAAAGAUUAUCCACUGCAAAGGAGUUAGACAGAUUUGUUGCAAAAUCAUCUAGCUUAAACUCUUCUGCAAAUUUCUGUAGGCUAGUUUCUCUUUCCAGAGAUCCACCUUUUUUAGCAUGAUAUGAUGAAGCAGAAUGACAGUUGCUCAUUGAUCUUGCAGAAUUUUGUUGAAUAGUUUUUUCUACAUUAAUCAAUCCCCCUCUGCUAUACAAUGAACUAACAGUCAAGUCCCUUUGAAAAUCCUGCUUUGAAUGCCCACAGAACACCGGAAUAUUUUCUUUUCUAGAAGAAACAUUUAGAGAAUCCUGGACUCUCAUUUCAGAUGGUAACUGUGACUCUAGUGAAGUCAAUAUAGAACCUUCACUACUCCAAGUACUAAUGCAAGGGGUUUUUGCAGCUGACUUCUCAACAGAAAAGGCAUAUUGUGAAGACAAAUGUUGUGAAGACAAAUGCUGGAACUGAGUAUCAGGAUUGCUGGAUAAUAUCAUUUGAGCUUCGGUGCCAACAGUCUGCAAUUGACUACUAAGAUUAGAUGAGUCCAAACAUAAUGGGUUCAUCUUCUCUUGUUGAAAAUCUGAAGUGGGACCAGAGGACUGAGUAAGAUUUAUUGAGGCAGUAUGAGCUAUUUCCAUCAGUUCAUCGCAGCUGCCACCAUGCAAGGGUGUGAUAUUACCAUUGCAGAAAGAAGUAAACCACUCAUUUAGAUCGCAAUUUUCAUAGUUCAAAGAUGAAGUUGGGUUUUCUGGUGAUGUGAGGCCAUUAAUAUUUCCCACCUCAUUGAACAAUCUUUUUAUUCGAAUUAUAAAUUCUGGCGUCUCCAAAAUCUUCUGGGUUGAUCCAAAUUGUAUCACUCCUUGUGAUUCCACAGGAAUUACAGCAAUUGUCUUUAGUCCAGAGGAAAAUUGGCAAUUAACCUCAGAAUCAUCCUCGUGUAUAUCUUUAAUUCCAGAAGAACCAGCAGAAUUCCGUCCUCCAUUGCUGUUAUCUGAGAAAAUCCAUUGGCACUUCCCAGACAUGGCAGCUUGGCCAACAAUUCCUUCGCCUAUCAUGUGGACCUGUAGAAGCAUAUUGUUAACUACCGCCUCCAUUUCUUCUUCACAGUGUGCAUCUUCAAUAGUCAACAACAUGGAAUUUCUUUGAUCAAAGCGCCAAAAAACCCCAUAAGACCACCCAUUACUGCAACAAAUACCCUUAAGCGUGUCCUUCAACACCGAACCCAUUUGAGUUUCACUUCACGAUCCCAAGCUCAUCACUCAGCACCCCAUUUCCCAGUCUGAGUGAACCAGCUCAAAUGUUGUCUCAAAGUAAAAUGCCUUCUGGCAAAAAAAACACUGAAACAAAACUGAGAAAGAAGCAAGCACUUUGAAGGGUUUCAACUCAGGAGCACCAAAGAAAGGUGUUCUUGCAAAACAGAAUGUUUUCUUGAAAGAGAAUAUAUGGAAACAGAGAGUGGUCGUCCAUGCUAAUAUGCGCCCACUCCGUCACAAAUUUU